RNAcentral lists this transfer RNA (75 nucleotides) under Methanobacteriota archaeon. RNAcentral describes it as "Euryarchaeota archaeon tRNA-Glu". It matches the Rfam family "tRNA". Rfam says of the family: Transfer RNA (tRNA) molecules are approximately 80 nucleotides in length. Their secondary structure includes four short double-helical elements and three loops (D, anti-codon, and T loops). Lineage: Archaea; Methanobacteriati; Methanobacteriota. RNAcentral also lists the same sequence under 2 other names. The record is from RNAcentral.
GCCCCGUUGGUGUAGCCCGGUCCAUCAUCCCGGCCUUUCGAGCCGGUCACGCGGGUUCGAAUCCCGCACGGGGCA